UCGAUGGGCCUAUCUCCUUCCUGGAAUGCCUUUUAGGAAGGAUCUCCAGGAAUCCUGUGGGGAGAGGCUGGUGCUGGGGGAAGACAGAGGAAUGCCUGGAGAGGACAGAAGUGAGACUACACCUGUUGGUCUGGAUUGCAGCUGGAAUUGGAAGGGAAAUGCAUUUCCAUUGAAGGAAGAAGUGUAACAGUGAGCAGGCAGGUGUCAGCGGAUCUCAAGAGAAUAAUGUCAACUGGACAAUGGCUUAGAGGCAGGAGGAGGCAGAUCAGCUAGGCAGAUGUGCAGAAGUUAAGUGUGGUUUCAUGCAGAAACUUCCAAAUGGAUUCAAGAGCCAAAGCCUUCAAGAAGUUGGUGUCAUUGUCACUUGGAAUAUGUUUGUAUUAAUACAGGUAGAAUAUGUUAAUAAACCAUAUUCUUAUCAAGAAUCUUCCAUUUACAGCCCUUAUUUUCUCCCUUUAUUUUUGCCCUUUCUUUUCUGCCUGGCUGUUUAACUCCUGGAUAUCUGAU
RNAcentral lists this long non-coding RNA (507 nucleotides) under Homo sapiens (human). RNAcentral describes it as "HSALNT0247847". The record is from RNAcentral. Lineage: Eukaryota; Metazoa; Chordata; Mammalia; Primates; Hominidae.